Long non-coding RNA from Marmota flaviventris (yellow-bellied marmot), 321 nucleotides. RefSeq lists it as uncharacterized. The record is from RefSeq and is a predicted model, not a curated record. Lineage: Eukaryota; Metazoa; Chordata; Mammalia; Rodentia; Sciuridae.
UAUGCAUUGGCUUCAUUCUUAAGCAGGCUCUCCAGUCCAGAGGACAAGAUGCACUCCAGAGCCCGACUGGUGAUUCUGCUGCCCAGUCAAGACUGAAAUAUUCUGCUCUAGGAUAAGAUAUUCUGUAAAAAAAAUUUAGAUUUCCUCUUAGGGACAAGAUCUUGUGUCAAGAUUGGAAUGAUUUUUCCCAAUCAGCACAACUUUUCAGAAAAGAACCACUGGGGGUGAUGGGGUUGUGUAGCUCAGUGGUGGAAGGCUUGCCUGGUGCAUGUGAGACAUAGGGUUCGAGUCUCAGCAUCACAUAAAAAUAAAUAAAUAAAA